UACGGGGGGGGCAAGCGUUGUUCGGAAUUACUGGGCGUAAAGGGUGCGUAGGUGGUUAGGUAAGUUAGAUGUGAAAUUCCAGGGCUUAACCUUGGGACGGCGUUUAAAGCUGCCUAGCUAGAGUACUGUAGAGGGAAGUGGAAUUUCCGGUGUAGCGGUGAAAUGCGUAGAUAUCGGAAGGAACAUCAGUGGCGAAGGCGACUUUCUGGACAGAUACUGACACUGAGGCACGAAAGCAUGGGGAGCAAACAGG
This 253-nucleotide ribosomal RNA is filed under the name uncultured bacterium. Its description in RNAcentral is "partial 16S ribosomal RNA". It matches the Rfam family "Bacterial small subunit ribosomal RNA", at positions 524 to 776 of the family's 1533-position model. The record is from RNAcentral.